Molecule: small RNA, 1020 nt
Filed under: Histoplasma ohiense
Lineage: Eukaryota; Fungi; Ascomycota; Eurotiomycetes; Onygenales; Ajellomycetaceae
Description: hypothetical lncRNA
Source: RNAcentral
CCCUCAGAGCUCCGCAGGACCCAAGGGUUAGCUUAGAAUAGAAUGAUUAAGGAUUAAGAACAAAAUUGAACAAUCUUAUUUGCUAUCUUAUUGUGCUGCUAGUUACCAUCCUUGAGCAUUAUUCCUUUUUUUAAAACAAAACAAAAGAAAAAUAAGGGAAUCCUCCCUUUUAAAGAGAAAAGUAAAAGAAAACAAACAAAUGAGCAAGGCCUUUAGAGAGAAGGAGAACAGGGCCUCAAAAGGAAAGAGGUUGUAAGAAUAUAGAAUCUGAAGGGUUCACCAAGAAGGAAGGACUCGCUAACCGGAAGGAACUGCCAGAACAGAAGGACUCGCUAUUCUCUGUAUUCUCUUUGUGAUUUCGACUAUUCUAGCAGUAUGGUCUCGCCAGUAUCCCCCUGGCUGUUCAACUACACCUCUCCUUAGCAAUCUCUGGAAAUCCACACACACGUUCAGCGUCAUAACCGGCAUUCUCGUCAUCAGAUGCGAUUACCGAGAUCAAGCAUGAAGAAAAAAGAAAGCAUUAGUCCGGGGAGAUGCGUAAAAAGCGGCCUCCCACGGUGGGCCUGAAAAACUAAUACGAACAAUCCACAUGUCCCGGAGCCAGCGUUAUGUGUUCAUUUUUUUCUGCUGCACCCGCACUGCCACAAUCGAUUUAAGUUCCCGUUCUAUGUGUACAAGCGUUCCGUCCGACCGUAGUUGUUGAACUCGUCGACGAAUUUGUCAUUCGACUUCGCGGCAAAUUCUAUGUGUUUGCUAGGACUGCUUUGCCAACGACUCGAUAGAAGAUCUCGCAUCUUCACAAAUACGAAGGCAUUGUUUGGUCACUCCUCUCUCGUCUUUCAGAUCGAUGCUUACGUCCGAGGCAGAAGUGUUUUCGAAAGUAAUUCACUCUAUUUUCUCAUUGAUUUGCUGUAAAUGGACCUCAAGGUUAUACACUGUGUCCUGAAUCAUUUCAUUGUACUCUUGAAGAACUUGGUGGGAAACUGUUAGGACUGACUGAGAUUGUCGAUUUAUACCCUG